GUCUAUUAGACUGUAUCUCCUCAGCCCCAUUAGAGGAGGUCUAUUAGACUGUAUCUCCUCAGCCCCAUUAGAGGAGGUCUACUAGACUGUAUCUCCUCAGCCCCAUUAGAGGAGGUCUAUUAGACUGUAUCUCCUCAGCCCCAUUAGAGGAGGUCUACUAGACUGUAUCUCCUCAGCCCCAUUAGAGGAGGUCUACUAGACUGUAUCUCCUCAGCCCCAUUAGAGGAGGUCUACUAGACUGUAUCUCCUCAGCCCCAUUAGAGGAGGUCUACUAGACUGUAUCUCCUCAGCCCCAUUAGAGGAGGUCUACUAGACUGUAUCUCCUCAGCCCCAUUAGAGGAGGUCUACUAGACUGUAUCUCCUCAGCCCCAUUAGAGGAGGUCUACUAGACUGUAUCUCCUCAGCCCCAUUAGAGGAGGUCUACUAGACUGUAUCUCCUCAGCCCCAUUAGAGGAGGUCUACUAGACUGUAUCUCCUCAGCCCCAUUAGAGGAGGUCUACUAGACUGUAUCUCCUCAGCCCCAUUAGAGGAGGUCUACUAGACUGUAUCUCCUCAGCCCCAUUAGAGGAGGUCUACUAGACUGUAUCUCCUCAGCCCCAUUAGAGGAGGUCUACUAGACUGUAUCUCCUCAGCCCCAUUAGAGGAGGUCUACUAGACUGUAUCUCCUCAGCCCCAUUAGAGGAGGUCUACUAGACUGUAUCUCCUCAGCCCCAUUAGAGGAGGUCUACUAGACUGUAUCUCCUCAGCCCCAUUAGAGGAGGUCUACUAGACUGUAUCUCCUCAGCCCCAUUAGAGGAGGUCUACUAGACUGUAUCUCCUCAGCCCCAUUAGAGGAGGUCUACUAGACUGUAUCUCCUCAGCCCCAUUAGAGGAGGUCUAUUAGACUGUAUCUCCUCAGCCCCAUUAGAGGAGGUCUACUAGACUGUAUCUCCUCAGCCCCAUUAGAGGAGGUCUAUUAGACUGUAUCUCCUCAGCCCCAUUAGAGGAGGUCUACUAGACUGUAUCUCCUCAGCCCCAUUAGAGGAGGUCUACUAGACUGUAUCUCCUCAGCCCCAUUAGAGGAGGUCUACUAGACUGUUUUCCUGGGACAUAAGCUUAGGUAAAUAUGCAACUAUACAUACAUAUUGGUACAUUUCAUUGCCCUUAUGCCUAAAACAUAUGCAAUAUAGACAAAAACAAAUAACAAUGAAAAUAAAUAUGAAUGUAAAUAUCUAUUAAUGUUUAUGUCCUCCUAUUAAAAACACUAUUACGUAUCUGUCUAGGUUGUAACUGGUGCUGUUAAAAUACAAUAAAUCAUUUUCAUUCUGAACUGGAAUAAACUGAUUGAUCACAGCACACAGGUGAAUAACAGAACAGACACACAGGUGAAUAACAGAACAGACACACAGGUGAAUAACAGAACAGACACACAGGUGAAUAACAGAACAGACACACAGGCGAAUAACAGAACAGACACACAGGUGAAUAACAGAACAGACACACAGGCGAAUAACAGAACAGACACACAGGUGAAUAACAGAACAGACACACAGGUGAAUAACAGAACAGACACACAGGCGAAUAACAGAACAGACACACAGGUGAAUAACAGAACAGACACACAGGCGUUUUGAAACCGUAAGAAACAGUACAGAUGAACAAUGAUAAGGCCGACUGUCCAUCUUACUGUAGAAAGAAAGUCUAGGUUGGAACUGAACUGGUGCUGUUUAAAAAACAACAAAAAACAUUUUUUACAUAUUUUUUUUUUUUAUAUCUGAACGAGAAUAAACUGAUUGGUCACAUCACACAGAUGUAGCCCAGCACAUACAUACAUGCACGCACGCACGCACGCACGCACGCACACACACACACACACACACACACACACACACACACACACACACACACACACACACACACACACACACACACACACACACACACACACACACACACACACACACACACACACACACACACACACACACACACACACACACACACAGAGAGAGAGAGAGUCCUAAUGAGAGGUCUGCAUGUCUAUUCUGGGCUCAGUUUUGGACACUGCAACCCAGAGGUGAUGCACCUCAGCCAGAGUUGACAACCCUGACUCAUAUAGGUAUGUGGUACCAAACUGGACCAGAACAUCUACUGCUUUCUCAGUCAGGCAGGAGACCACUUCCUGUUGUAGAUGGAACAACCCAGAUCUGUGUGAGGGGGUUCUCAGUCAGACAGGACACCACUUCCUGUUGUAGAUGGAACAGCCCAGAACUGUGUGAGUGGGUUCACCUCAAAAAGCAUCUUGCUUUCAUCAGUUUAUUAUUCCAGUUCAGAAUAACAAUUAUUAUUCUGUUUUAACAGCAACAGUUCCAUCCUAGACUCGUUUUCAACAAUAGUUUCUACAGUAAAAUGAACAGUAGGCCUGAUCAUUGUUCAUCUUCAUAUGUACUGUUACUAGGGUUGCACUAUCAGUAGCUUGCUUUGGCGAAUGUUAGAUAUUAACUGUGUACAAGGCCAUGGGAUUGUAUGAAAAAGAAACUCACAUGUAGUACUAUGAGAGAUAGCACUCCCUUAUUACUGCUUAUGCUUACCUGUUAUAAAAUGACAACAAUGCCUUGCUAGUUGACUGACUUUUCCACUGUUGAAGCCCUGUUCUGAAAGACCUCCCUGGGUUGACCGCCAUGCUGUGGAUGUUUUGGUCAGGACGUGUCAUUUUAUAACAAUUUGUUCGUAAUGAGAGACUCAAGUGUAUAUGAAAGAGAGGAAAACUCAUCGCUGUAUUUGCGUUUCAUGACAACUGAGCUCAGACAGAACAAACUCCAUUCGACGACAGCGGUGAGAGAUGGCGAGUGAGAGAUGGCGAGUGAGAGAUGGCGAGUGAGAGAUGGCGAGUGAGAGAUGGCGAGUGAGAGAUGGCGAGUGAGAGCGACAAGUCAGUGGCGGACAGUGGAUCAUCUGCUGCCUGAACCGCAGCUAGCAAACUGAGCAGAGAACGCUGCUUAUCCCUCUCACACUCGCUCAGCUAGCAAACUGAGCAGAGAACGCUGCUUAUCCCUCUCACACUCGCUCAGCUGCCAAACUGAGCAGAGAACGCUGCUUAUCCCUCUCACACUCGCUCAGCUGCCAAACUGAGCAGAGAACGCUGCUUAUCCCUCUCACACUCGCUCAGCUAGCAAACUGAGCAGAGAACGCUGCUUAUCCCUCUCACACUCGCUCAGCUGCCAAACUGAGCAGAGA
Molecule: long non-coding RNA, 3216 nt
Organism: Oncorhynchus keta (chum salmon)
Lineage: Eukaryota; Metazoa; Chordata; Actinopteri; Salmoniformes; Salmonidae
Exons: 4
Source: RefSeq, a predicted model, not a curated record